Molecule: ribosomal RNA, 216 nt
Filed under: Glomeromycotina sp.
Lineage: Eukaryota; Fungi; Glomeromycota
Description: partial small subunit ribosomal RNA
Rfam family: Eukaryotic small subunit ribosomal RNA (bases 75-216)
Source: RNAcentral
GGGUCAGUAGGUUGGUCGUGCCACCGGUACGUACUGGUCUCACUGAUACCUCCUUCCUGAAGAACCGUAAUGCCAUUAAUUUGGUGUUGCGGGGAAACAGGACUGUCACUUUGAAAAAAUUAGAGUGUUUAAAGCAAGCUAACGCUUGAAUACAUUAGCAUGGAAUAAUGAAAUAGGACGAUCGAUCCUAUUUUGUUGGUUUCUAGGAUUGACGUA